AGCUAUCAUAUCUUCCUAUGAAAGUCACAAGCAAGAGAUGAAUUGACAUCCUGUGUAGGAAAUUGAAUAGAAGAAAGAAAUCAAGUAGAAAUUCAAAUCUCUUCCCUGACUCUCCCAGGAACAUAUGAAAGUGACUUCCAUAAUGGACAAGUCAAGACAAUAAAAAUCUUUGGAAAAUCUGCCUCAAAUCUCAGUGCACCAAACCCCACUAUGUCCUCAGCAAGGAUUCCAGGUUUCUUCAGCACAGUGGAGUGAUAUUAAGCAUGUAACACCUAACCCAAGUCCCAGACAGUAUAUUAGUAGAAGAAAAGAUCAGCUAAUAAAUAUGAAUUCAAAAGUGAGUAAAUAAAUUUU
Molecule: long non-coding RNA, 354 nt
Organism: Bos indicus x Bos taurus (hybrid cattle)
Lineage: Eukaryota; Metazoa; Chordata; Mammalia; Artiodactyla; Bovidae
Source: Ensembl